GGGUUGUGAGGUUAAGCGACUAAGCGUACACGGUGGAUGCCCUGGCAGUCAGAGGCGAUGAAGGACGUGCUAAUCUGCGAUAAGCGUCGGUAAGGUGAUAUGAACCGUUAUAACCGGCGAUUUCCGAAUGGGGAAACCCAGUGUGUUUCGACACACUAUCAUUAACUGAAUCCAUAGGUUAAUGAGGCGAACCGGGGGAACUGAAACAUCUAAGUACCCCGAGGAAAAGAAAUCAACCGAGAUUCCCCCAGUAGCGGCGAGCGAACGGGGAGCAGCCCAGAGCCUGAAUCAGUGUGUGUGUUAGUGGAAGCGUCUGGAAAGGCGCGCGAUACAGGGUGACAGCCCCGUACACAAAAAUGCACAUGCUGUGAGCUCGAUGAGUAGGGCGGGACACGUGGUAUCCUGUCUGAAUAUGGGGGGACCAUCCUCCAAGGCUAAAUACUCCUGACUGACCGAUAGUGAACCAGUACCGUGAGGGAAAGGCGAAAAGAACCCCGGCGAGGGGAGUGAAAAAGAACCUGAAACCGUGUACGUACAAGCAGUGGGAGCACGCUUAGGCGUGUGACUGCGUACCUUUUGUAUAAUGGGUCAGCGACUUAUAUUCUGUAGCAAGGUUAACCGAAUAGGGGAGCCGAAGGGAAACCGAGUCUUAACUGGGCGUUAAGUUGCAGGGUAUAGACCCGAAACCCGGUGAUCUAGCCAUGGGCAGGUUGAAGGUUGGGUAACACUAACUGGAGGACCGAACCGACUAAUGUUGAAAAAUUAGCGGAUGACUUGUGGCUGGGGGUGAAAGGCCAAUCAAACCGGGAGAUAGCUGGUUCUCCCCGAAAGCUAUUUAGGUAGCGCCUCGUGAAUUCAUCUCCGGGGGUAGAGCACUGUUUCGGCAAGGGGGUCAUCCCGACUUACCAACCCGAUGCAAACUGCGAAUACCGGAGAAUGUUAUCACGGGAGACACACGGCGGGUGCUAACGUCCGUCGUGAAGAGGGAAACAACCCAGACCGCCAGCUAAGGUCCCAAAGUCAUGGUUAAGUGGGAAACGAUGUGGGAAGGCCCAGACAGCCAGGAUGUUGGCUUAGAAGCAGCCAUCAUUUAAAGAAAGCGUAAUAGCUCACUGGUCGAGUCGGCCUGCGCGGAAGAUGUAACGGGGCUAAACCAUGCACCGAAGCUGCGGCAGCGACGCUUAUGCGUUGUUGGGUAGGGGAGCGUUCUGUAAGCCUGUGAAGGUGUGCUGUGAGGCAUGCUGGAGGUAUCAGAAGUGCGAAUGCUGACAUAAGUAACGAUAAAGCGGGUGAAAAGCCCGCUCGCCGGAAGACCAAGGGUUCCUGUCCAACGUUAAUCGGGGCAGGGUGAGUCGACCCUAAGGCGAGGCCGAAAGGCGUAGUCGAUGGGAAACAGGUUAAUAUUCCUGUACUUGGUGUUACUGCGAAGGGGGGACGGAGAAGGCUAUGUUGGCCGGGCGACGGUUGUCCCGGUUUAAGCGUGUAGGCUGGUUUUCCAGGCAAAUCCGGAAAAUCAAGGCUGAGGCGUGAUGACGAGGCACUACGGUGCUGAAGCAACAAAUGCCCUGCUUCCAGGAAAAGCCUCUAAGCAUCAGGUAACAUCAAAUCGUACCCCAAACCGACACAGGUGGUCAGGUAGAGAAUACCAAGGCGCUUGAGAGAACUCGGGUGAAGGAACUAGGCAAAAUGGUGCCGUAACUUCGGGAGAAGGCACGCUGAUAUGUAGGUGAAGCGACUUGCUCGUGGAGCUGAAAUCAGUCGAAGAUACCAGCUGGCUGCAACUGUUUAUUAAAAACACAGCACUGUGCAAACACGAAAGUGGACGUAUACGGUGUGACGCCUGCCCGGUGCCGGAAGGUUAAUUGAUGGGGUUAGCCGCAAGGCGAAGCUCUUGAUCGAAGCCCCGGUAAACGGCGGCCGUAACUAUAACGGUCCUAAGGUAGCGAAAUUCCUUGUCGGGUAAGUUCCGACCUGCACGAAUGGCGUAAUGAUGGCCAGGCUGUCUCCACCCGAGACUCAGUGAAAUUGAACUCGCUGUGAAGAUGCAGUGUACCCGCGGCAAGACGGAAAGACCCCGUGAACCUUUACUAUAGCUUGACACUGAACAUUGAGCCUUGAUGUGUAGGAUAGGUGGGAGGCUUUGAAGUGUGGACGCCAGUCUGCAUGGAGCCGACCUUGAAAUACCACCCUUUAAUGUUUGAUGUUCUAACGUUGGCCCCUGAUCGGGGUUGCGGACAGUGUCUGGUGGGUAGUUUGACUGGGGCGGUCUCCUCCUAAAGAGUAACGGAGGAGCACGAAGGUUGGCUAAUCCUGGUCGGACAUCAGGAGGUUAGUGCAAUGGCAUAAGCCAGCUUGACUGCGAGCGUGACGGCGCGAGCAGGUGCGAAAGCAGGUCAUAGUGAUCCGGUGGUUCUGAAUGGAAGGGCCAUCGCUCAACGGAUAAAAGGUACUCCGGGGAUAACAGGCUGAUACCGCCCAAGAGUUCAUAUCGACGGCGGUGUUUGGCACCUCGAUGUCGGCUCAUCACAUCCUGGGGCUGAAGUAGGUCCCAAGGGUAUGGCUGUUCGCCAUUUAAAGUGGUACGCGAGCUGGGUUUAGAACGUCGUGAGACAGUUCGGUCCCUAUCUGCCGUGGGCGCUGGAGAACUGAGGGGCUGCUCCUAGUACGAGAGGACCGGAGUGGACGCAUCACUGGUGUUCGGGUUGUCAUGCCAAUGGCACUGCCCGGUAGCUAAAUGCGGAAGAGAUAAGUGCUGAAAGCAUCUAAGCACGAAACUUGCCCCGAGAUGAGUUCUCCCUGACUCCUUGAGAGUCCUGAAGGAACGUUGAAGACGACGACGUUGAUAGGCCGGGUGUGUAAGCGCAGCGAUGCGUUGAGCUAACCGGUACUAAUGAACCGUGAGGCUUAACCUUACAACGCCGAAGCUGUU
RNAcentral lists this ribosomal RNA (2929 nucleotides) under Escherichia coli. RNAcentral's name for it is "23S ribosomal RNA". It matches the Rfam family "Bacterial large subunit ribosomal RNA". Lineage: Bacteria; Pseudomonadati; Pseudomonadota; Gammaproteobacteria; Enterobacterales; Enterobacteriaceae. The record is from RNAcentral.